UCUCCGUUGGUGAACCAGCGGAGGGAUCAUUACCGAGUUUACAACUCCCAAACCCCUGUGAACUUAUACCUUUACUGUUGCUUCGGCGGGUCAUUGCCCCGGGGAAACAGGCGGCCGUCAGGUCCCUGCCCACCCGGAAACAGGCGCCCGCCGGGGGACUCAAACUCUUCUGUAUUUUUUUGUUUACUGUAUACUGUCUGAGUAAAAAUUCAUAAUGAAUCAAAGCUUUCAACAACGGAUCUCUUGGUUCUG
RNAcentral lists this unclassified non-coding RNA (252 nucleotides) under plant metagenome. Its description in RNAcentral is "partial contains small subunit ribosomal RNA, internal transcribed spacer 1, and 5.8S ribosomal RNA". The record is from RNAcentral.